GCGUUGUCCGGAAUUAUUGGGCGUAAAGAGCGUGUAGGCGGUUCGGUAAGUCUGUCGUGAAAUCCUGGGGCUCAACCCCGGGCGUGCGAUGGAUACUGCCGGGCUAGAGGGUGGUAGAGGCGAGUGGAAUUCCCGGUGUAGCGGUGAAAUGCGCAGAUAUCGGGAGGAACACCAGUAGCGAAGGCGGCUCGCUGGGCCACACCUGACGCUGAGACGCGAAAGCUAG
Molecule: ribosomal RNA, 226 nt
Filed under: uncultured bacterium
Lineage: Bacteria
Description: partial 16S ribosomal RNA
Rfam family: Bacterial small subunit ribosomal RNA
Source: RNAcentral